This 933-nucleotide ribosomal RNA is filed under the name Triticum aestivum (bread wheat). Its description in RNAcentral is "partial small subunit ribosomal RNA". Lineage: Eukaryota; Viridiplantae; Streptophyta; Magnoliopsida; Poales; Poaceae. The record is from RNAcentral.
AUGAUCGAGGUGACGGCGGCACAUCGGAGGAGGCAGCUCGGAGAGGGUGAUGUGGCGCGUGGCAGCGGCAGCCACGAGAGGACCGGGGAUGCCACGGCAAAGGCCCAGCUGAGCAUACUCGACCAGGCAUGGAAGCCGAGCUACACUCGAGACAUAGCCAAGACACGCUUCUUCUCGAGUAACCUCAGUUGGGGCACGCGGGGCUUCUUGAAACACGAGGAUCUGGACGCCCUAACGAGGAAGCAUCUCAAGGACGACUGCCUGACUGUUCUGUGCGAUGUCACCGUCACCGUCACCGAGCUGUGCACCGAAGACCACGCCGAGACUGCCGCACCGGAGCCUACAGUGGUGGCGCCUCCCUUCGGAUUGCCCGGGCAACUCGGGGAAGCCGUCUGGAACACGAAGGGAGUGGACGUGCACAUCGAGGUCGGCGGGGAGACGCUCCCCGCGCACCGGCAGAUACUCGAGGCCGGGUCACCCGUCUUCAAGGCGGACCUCUCGCUCGCCUCGGCCACCGCCAGCGACAGCAGCGACACCGCCGUACUGCGCGUCGACGACAUGGACGCCGAGGUGUUCAAGGCCCUGCUCCAGUUCAUCUACACGGACUCACCUCCCGUGAUCCUGUCGGCGUCGAUGGCGGAGAGGCUGCUCGUCGCGGCGGACAGGUACAAGCUGGAAGAGUUGAAGCUCCUCUGCGAGGACGCAUUGUGCUGGCGCGUCGACAUGAGCUCCGUGGCUGUCGCUCUAGCGUUGGCGGAGAAGCAUAGUUGCUCCGCGCUGAGGGCGGCAUGCAUCCAGUUCCUCUCUUGUCCGGGGAACCUGGAAUCAUUCAUGGCAUCGGAUGGGUUUGAGAAGGUAAGGACGUAUUGUCCCUUCCGCUCUCAUGGAGCUUGUCCUCAAGAAGAUUACAAUAUAGGAGCAACUAGCAACUAA